This 421-nucleotide ribosomal RNA is filed under the name uncultured bacterium. RNAcentral describes it as "bacterial SSU rRNA". It matches the Rfam family "Bacterial small subunit ribosomal RNA", at positions 355 to 774 of the family's 1533-position model. The record is from RNAcentral.
UAAGGAAUAUUGGUCAAUGGACGCAAGUCUGAACCAGCCAUGCCGCGUGAAGGAUGAAGGUCCUCUGGAUUGUAAACUUCUUUUAUCUGGGACGAAAACGGGAUUUUUAUCUCAAUUGACGGUACCAGAGGAAUAAGCACCGGCUAACUCCGUGCCAGCAGCCGCGGUAAUACGGAGGGUGUGAGCGUUAUCCGGAUUUACUGGGUUUAAAGGGUGCGUAGGUGGGCUUAUAAGUCAGUGGUGAAAUCUCCGAGCUUAACUUGGAAACUGCCGUUGAUACUAUAGGUCUUGAAUUAUCUGGAGGUAAGCGGAAUAUGUCAUGUAGCGGUGAAAUGCUUAGAUAUGACAUAGAACACCAAUUGCGAAGGCAGCUUACUACAUAUAAAUUGACGCUGAGGCACGAAAGCGUGGGGAUCAAACA